UACAGAGGGUGCGAGCGUUGUCCGGAAUCACUGGGCGUAAAGGGCGCGUAGGUGGCGGGCCAAGUCUGUGGUGAAAGCUCGAUGCUCAACAUCGAGUCGGCCACGGAUACUGGUUCGCUGGAGCACUGUAGAGGCAGAUGGAAUUCCGGGUGUAGCGGUGGAAUGCGUAGAGAUCCGGAAGAACACCGGUGGCGAAGGCGGUCUGCUGGGCAGUUGCUGACACUGAGGCGCGACAGCGUGGGGAGCAAACAGG
RNAcentral lists this ribosomal RNA (253 nucleotides) under uncultured bacterium. RNAcentral's name for it is "partial 16S ribosomal RNA". It matches the Rfam family "Bacterial small subunit ribosomal RNA", at positions 524 to 776 of the family's 1533-position model. The record is from RNAcentral.